AAAUGGAACAUCACAAGGGUUUCAAUGUCUCUCUCUCUUUGAUGAUGACGAUGAUGAAGGCCGAAUCCAAAUCCUACACUCCCCUCAACUAUUUCAGAACCUUUGUCUACAAAGGACUACCGUCGGACUCGUCAGAAUGGCGAUCUCGAACGGGCUGAUUGCGCAAUUUGAGAUAUCUCUUCUUUGUGGUUCUGCAAAGUUGAUUCUCUAUCACUUCUCUCUGAAUCCAUGCGAAAAUUAACAGAAACAUGAAGUCCUCUUCCCGAUAUUCUCUUUUGUGUUGUUUUAGCAGCUUUGUUGCUAAAAACACUAGGAUGUAUGCAUUCUCCUGUGGAUGCAUCCAUAGCAGAUCUGAAGGGAGAAAUUCCCACUCCAACUUGAUCGUGUUCUUCAUCGUGCCUUAUAACCCGGUCUUGACUUGCAUGCCCUCUUGCAGAGACACACUCUUCGACCAUCUCUUUUGUGAAGGAGGUUCUUGGUCUUUGGCUUGAAGUGUUUUCCUCCUUUUGCUCUUAGCCUUGGCAUCCUUUUCAACAUUUUCUUGAACAGAGACCUGACACAGAUCAUUUUUGCCCUAAUUUUUCUCUCUAUUUCUGUUCAAAUGUAAGUAUGAUAUAAUCAUCUUCAAUGUGGGUUUCUUGGGUUACUGGUACUAGUCUUAACUGUGCACUUUAUGUGUUUGUUUAAUUGACUGAAUGGUGUGUUUGUUGGAAUUACAAAAUAAAUUUGUCAUGUAGUGGUUUAAAUGUAUUAUAAUAUAUAUUCAGCAAGAAAUGGCUGCUUAAAAUUAAUUAUCCAAUGCAUUGCAUAAGUCCAACACUAGUUUUUAAGACUUUGCAAAUUGUUUUGUUGAUAAAAGCUUUUGGUGUGUUCCAUAGAUUUGCGAUCAAAUUAGGGGAAAAAGAACAUCUUUACAUGUUUGUUUUGCAUUUCUUAGUUGACCAUCAUGUGCAGCAGCAUUAUAAUAUUUGAGCAUAGCCCAAGAUACUAUAACCUCUCCAUAUGCAGCAGCAUAAUAAUUUUCAGCAUAGUACAAUGAAUUUGAGAAGCAUAUACUACAAGCCACAUUAUUUGCGGACCUACCUUCCUAAAAAAAACAUUGUUUAUUUUAGUUGUUGUUAAAAUUAUUAUAAUUUUAUUUGGUAAGGUGAUUGUUUUCUUGGAAAGAACAUGCCUAUGAGUUCUGCUCACAUGGAACCCAACUUGCCUUUUUCUCUAGUUUUGGAGGCUUACGGGAUCUCAUACUAAUUAUGUGAUACAAAGAAUGCUCCAAGAUUUUUCAAUAUGAAUACAAAAAAGAAAAAAAAGUCAUUUGCAUGGAACUUAAGAACUUUAGAAAAGUAAUAAAUAAUAAUCAUAGAAAACAAAAACAAAGAAAAAAAAACUUGGGUUUUGGUUAAAGGCAAGAAAGGCUUGUGGAACAUAUUAUUGAAAGUGAAUGACAUAUGAUAUAUCAGAUAUGUAAUUUAAGAACCUAGGUUCCUUUUAUAGAUAUAAUUUGGAAAAGACAUAUGAUAUAUCAGGCAUGUAAUUUAAGAACCUAGGUUCCUUUUAGGAGGUACAAAUGAUGCUAGUGCAUAUGAUAAUUAGCCACAACUACCAUGUGAAAAAAUAUGUAUAUCCUUGUUGAAGUUUGAUAUUCUCUUAUGUGCUUUAAUUGGUGUUAUGUUCAUCAAUGCAGUUGAGUACAUUGUGCCGUUUUCUUGCCUUUUGUGUUAUACUUGAAAACGAAUUGAAAAUCAUUAAAUUCUUUGUACCCUUUUCUUGACUUCAAAUGUAAUUGGAAUGCUUGUGUAUGUUACGAAAUGAUAUCCCAGUUAAUGGACCUAGUUUGGCUGUGGCAACCCCUAGAACUGUAAUAAUCCAUGAUAGUAUGAAUUAACUGAGAAAAUAAUGUUAUAUUCUUCCUAGAUUUCAAGAAUCCCAUGCAUUAAAAAAAUAACUAAAAAAGAGGAUAAUAGAUGAGCAGAAUAUUUUUAAUGUCAACUUAUAAAAUGUUAAAUUACUGGUGCAUACAAAUGAGAUCAAGUGAUAAAUAGAUACAAAAUAGGUCAAGACUUUUGAGGGAAAUUAGUGAAAUUACUAAUAAGAUUACAGAUGAUAUUGCUGACU
Camellia sinensis is the source of this 2112-nucleotide non-coding RNA. NCBI's taxonomy places the organism in Eukaryota, Viridiplantae, Streptophyta, Magnoliopsida, Ericales, Theaceae. The record is from RefSeq and is a predicted model, not a curated record.